This 868-nucleotide ribosomal RNA is filed under the name Clostridiales bacterium R50. RNAcentral's name for it is "bacterial SSU rRNA". It matches the Rfam family "Bacterial small subunit ribosomal RNA", at positions 23 to 875 of the family's 1533-position model. Lineage: Bacteria; Bacillati; Bacillota; Clostridia; Eubacteriales. The record is from RNAcentral.
CUCAGGACGAACGCUGGCGGCGUGCCUAACACAUGCAAGUCGAGCGGGGACAUUGCGACGGACAUGAAGUUUUCGGAUGGAUUGAAAGAUGUAAUGUUCUAGCGGCGGACGGGUGAGUAACGCGUGAGCAACCUGUCCCUUACAGGGGGAUAACACAGCGAAAGUUGUACUAAUACCGCAUGAGACCACAGAGCGACAUCGCUUAGGGGUCAAAGGAGCAAUCCGGUAAGGGGUGGGCUCGCGUCCGAUUAGAUAGUUGGUGAGGUAACGGCCCACCAAGUCGACGAUCGGUAGCCGACCUGAGAGGGUGAUCGGCCCCCUUGGGAAUGAGACCCGGCCCCAACUCCUUCGGGAGGCAGCAGUGGGGAAUAUUGGGCAAUGGGGGAAACCCUGACCCAGCAACGCCGCGUGAGGGAAGAAGGUUUUCGGAUCGUAAACCUCUGUCCUUGGUGAAGAGAAAGAGACGGUAGCCAAGGAGGAAGCCCCGGCUAACUACGUGCCAGCAGCCGCGGUAAUACGUAGGGGGCGAGCGUUGUCCGGAAUGAUUGGGCGUAAAGGGCGCGUAGGCGGCCCGGUAAGUCUGAAGUGAAAGUCCUGCUUUUAAGGUGGGAAUUGCUUUGGAUACUGUCGGGCUUGAGUGCAGGAGAGGUAAGUGGAAUUCCCAGUGUAGCGGUGAAAUGCGUAGAGAUUGGGAGGAACACCAGUGGCGAAGGCGACUUACUGGACUGUAACUGACGCUGAGGCGCGAAAGUGUGGGGAGCAAACAAGAUUAUAUACCCUGGUAGUCCACACUGUAAACGAUGAAUGCUAGGUGUAGGGGGUAUCGACCCCUUCUGUGCCGCAGUUAACACAAUAAGCAUUCCGCCUG